Molecule: ribosomal RNA, 937 nt
Filed under: uncultured archaeon
Lineage: Archaea
Description: bacterial SSU rRNA
Rfam family: Archaeal small subunit ribosomal RNA
Source: RNAcentral
GAUCCCGCCGGACCCCACUGCUAUCGGGAUGGGACUAAGACAUGCUAGUCGUGCGCCUUCUAGCCAUGCUGGAGGCGCGGCACACAGCUCAGUAGCACGUGGCUAACCUGCCCUUGGGACAGAAACAACCCCGGGAAACUGGGGCCAAUUUCCGAUAGGUGAAGAUGCCUGGAAUGGUUUUUCACCAGAAAAGACGUGUAGGUCAUGCUUCUAGACGUUGCCCAAGGAUGGGGCCGCGGCCGAUCAGGCUGUUGGCGAGGUAACGGCUCACCAAACCUUUGACCGGUUCGGGCCGCGGGAGCGGUAGCCCGGAGAUGGGCACUGAGACAAGGGCCCAGGUCCUACGGGGCGCAGCAGUCGCGAAAACUUCGCAAUAAGCGAAAGCUUGACGGGGCCAUCCCGAGUGCCAUCUGCUGAGGAUGGCUUUUACCCAGUAUAGACAGCUGGGGGAAUAAGGAGAGGGCAAGUCUGGUGUCAGCCGCCGCGGUAAUACCAGCUCUCCGAGUGGUGGGGACGUUUAUUGAGCCUAAAGCAUCCGUAGCCGGCUGAGUUAGUCCCCUGUCAAAUCCGGCGACUAAUCGUUGGCCCGCGGGGGAUACUGCUCGGCUAGGGGGCGGGAGGGGCCGUCGGUAUUCUUGGGGUAGGGGUGAAAUCCUAUAAUCCCAGGAGGACCACCAGUGGCGAAGGCUGUCGGCUAGAACGCGCCCGACGGUGAGGGAUGAAAGCUGGGGGAGCGAACCGGAUUAGAUACCCGGGUAGUCCCAGCUGUAAACGAUGCAGGCUAGGUGUUAGGGCGGCUACGUGCCGCCCUAGUGCCGCAGGGAAGCUGUUAAGCCUGCCGCUUGGGAAGUACGGUCGCAAGGCUGAAACUUAAAGGAAUUGGCGGGGGAGCACCACAAGGGGUGAAGCUUGCGGUUUAAUUGGAUUCAACGCCGGG